CGAGUGAAGCGGCAAAAGCUCGAAUUUGAAAUCCUCUUCGGAGGAGUUGUAAUUUGAAGCUGGUUCUUUAGGGAGUUUUGUUUUUGGCUGCGGAAGUGCCUUGGAACAGGCCGCCGUGGAGGGUGAGAGCCCCGUAUCGUGGCCAGCAAGAUUUUCGUACAAGGGCUAGCGAAGAGUCGAGUUGUUUGGGAAUGCAGCUCUAAGUGGGUGGUAUAUUCCAUCUAAGGCUAAAUAUGGGCGAGAGACCGAUAGCAAACAAGUACAGUGAUGGAAAGAUGAAAAGAACUUUGAAAAGAGAGUGAAAAAGUACGUGAAAUUGUUGAAAGGGAAGGGUAUUUGAUCCGACAUGGUAUUUAGAUGUCGCUUGCCCCCGUGGCGGGCGCUCCAUCUUUUUACUGGGCCAGCAUCGGUGCUGGGCGGGACAGGAGGUUUCUGUGAAUGUAGCCCCUCGGGGAACUUAUAGAACAGGAUUCAUACGUCUCUCCCCG
This 488-nucleotide ribosomal RNA is filed under the name Brettanomyces naardenensis. RNAcentral's name for it is "eukaryotic LSU rRNA". It matches the Rfam family "Eukaryotic large subunit ribosomal RNA", at positions 90 to 584 of the family's 3401-position model. Lineage: Eukaryota; Fungi; Ascomycota; Pichiomycetes; Pichiales; Pichiaceae. The record is from RNAcentral.